Molecule: long non-coding RNA, 329 nt
Filed under: Gossypium barbadense (sea-island cotton)
Lineage: Eukaryota; Viridiplantae; Streptophyta; Magnoliopsida; Malvales; Malvaceae
Description: long non-coding RNA (GBAR_LNC009221)
Source: RNAcentral
CUGCAACUAUUGUUUCAACUGAAGCUGCCAUUUAAUCUUCGAAUUAAUAUUUGGUACUGAUAUAUAUAAAGUUUUUAUAUUUGCUUAAACUGAAAUAUAUUUGGUGCUACUCUUAUAAUCUUACAUGUGUCUGUAUUAGUGAAUUAAUGUUGUAUGUAUUUCAGUUACUGCUUCCUGCUCCUCCUGCAACUAUUGGUUCAACUGAAGCUGCCAUUUAAUCUUCGAAUUAAUAUUUGGUACUGAUAUAGAUAAAGUUUUUAUAUUUGUUUAAAAUGAAAUAUAUUUGGUGCUACUCUUAUAAUCUUACAUCUGUUCUAGGUACUAUCGAG